Molecule: long non-coding RNA, 1825 nt
Organism: Gasterosteus aculeatus aculeatus (three-spined stickleback)
Lineage: Eukaryota; Metazoa; Chordata; Actinopteri; Perciformes; Gasterosteidae
Source: Ensembl
CAUGUUAAAUUAAGUAAUGGUAUAGGAUAAUAAAUGAAGUAUAGAGUGUCAAAAUGGUGAAGGUCAUAGUAUAGCAUGUCAAAAAUAUGAAAAAGAAGACAUUGUAUAGUGUGUCGAAAAAGUGAAACAAUAUAUCAUAGAAUAGCAUGAUGAAUUAAGUCAUUGUAUAGCGUGUCGAAAUGGUAAAAAAGUCAUAUUAUAGUGUAUCAAAAUGAUGAAAAAGGACAUAGUAUAGCAUGUUGAAUGAAGCCAUAGUAUAGUGUGUCCAAAUGGUGAAAAAGGUCAUAGUAUAGUCUGUCGAAAUGGUGAAAAAGGGCUAUAGUAUAGCAUGUUGAAUGAAGCCAUAGUAUAGUGUGUCGAAAUGGUGAAAAAGGGCUAUAGUAUAGCAUGUCGAAAACGUGAAACAAUAAAUCAUAGCAUAGCAUAUUGAAUUAAGUCAUGGUAUAGCAUGAUGAAUGAAGUCAUAGUAUAGUGUGUUGAAAUGGUGAAAAGGGCUAUAGUAUAGGAUGUCGAAAAAAGUGAAAAAAUAAAUCAUAGUAUAGCAUGUCAAAAUGGUGAAGAAUUAAGUAAUAGUAUAGCAUGUUGAAUGAAGCGUGUCGAAAUGGUGAAAAAUGUCAGAGUAUAGCAUGUUGAAUUAAGUCAUAGUAUAGCGUGUUGAAAUAGGUCAUAGUAUAGCGUGUCGAAAUGGUAAAAAAAAUGUCAUAUUAUAGCAUGUUGAAUGAAGUCAUAGUAUAGUGUAUCAAAAUGGUGGAAAAGGACAUAGUAUAGCAUGAUGAAUGGAGUCAUACUAUAGCAUGUCGAAAUGGUGAAUGAAGUCAUAGUAUAGCGUGUCAAAAUGGUGAAGAGGGUCAUAGUAUAGUGUGUCGAAAUGGUGAAAAAAGGUCAUAGUAUAGUCUGUCGAAAUGGUGAAAAAGGGCUAUAGUAUAGCAUGUUGAAUGAAGCCAUAGUAUAGUGUGUCGAAAUGGUGAAUAAGGUCAUAGUAUAGUCUGUCUGAAAUGGUGAAAUAGGGCUAUAUUAUAGCAUGUCGAAAAACGUGAAACAAUAAAUCAUAGCAUAGCAUAUUGAAUUAAGUCAUGGUACAGCAUGAUGAAUGAAGUCAUACUAUAGUGUGUUGAAAUGGUGAAAAGGGCUAUAGUAUAGGAUGUCGAAAAAAGUGAAAAAAUAAAUCAUAUAGCAUGUCAAAAAGGUGAAGAAUUAAGUAAUAGUAUAGCAUGUUGAAUGAAGUCAUAGUAUAGCAGGUUGAAUGAAGUCAUCGUAUAGCGUGUCGAAAUGGUUAAAAAGGUGAUAUUAUAGCAUGUUCAAUGAAGUCAUAGCAUAGUGUAUCAAAAUGGUGAAGAGGGUCAUAAUAUAGCAUGUUGAAUUAAGUCAUAGUGUAGCGUGUCAUAAAAGUGAAGAAUUAAGUAAUAGUGUUACAUAGUGUCGAAAUGGUGAAAGAGGUAAUAGUAUAGCAUGUCGAAAUUGUGAAAAAUAACUCAUAGUAUUGCAUGUUGAAUUAGGUCGUAGUAUAGCGUGUUGAAAUGGUGAAAUAAUAAAUAAUAAUUAAUAAUUCUUCCCUUGGGCCUGGAGCCGGCCUCCGAGGGAGCUCAGAACAACCUCCAAAAACAAGUGCAGGGCUCAUGUGGCCGUCCAUCCAGUGAAGGCCUCGCCGUCUCCCACUCCAGAUAACAGGCAGGGGGAGUCCAGUUCCUGAGUCGGCGAUUUAACGCAAUACAACGCCUCUGGGCUCAGCUUUUGAGCAAUUUGGAGUAAACACACAAAUACUCCCACGCUCAACUGGGAAGACUUUCCAUCUGAAUUGUUCCCAGAGCUCCUCCUUUUCCUUUUA